UUUUUUUUUUUUUGCCCAGAAGUUGCCAUAAUGUUUACACUAUAGUUGCCAUAGUGCUUAAACUAAAAUUGCCAUGUGGCAAUUUUAGUUUGUAGAUCAUGGCAAUUUUAAUUUUUUUAUUAUGACAAUUUUAUUACUUUGACCAUGAAAAUAUUUUUUUAUUGAACCAUGACAAUUUUAAGUGCAUGUAUUAUGGCAAUUUUAGUUUAUGAUGCAUGGCAAGUCUAGUUUCUUAAUUUUCCGUUUUAUAAUAUGUUAAAAUUUACUUUUAAAUGUAAAAAAAAAUAGUUGAAACAUAUCAUGGCAACUUCAGUGUAAAUAUCAUGGUAAUUCAUGUGCAAUAAACAUGGCAACUUUUACCAAAAAAAAUAUCACCAAAAUAUAUGGAUAUGAGAUCUAAUUUUGAAGAUCUCGUCACGAGGGAUUUAAUGGUGAAAAUAGAUCUUCAAUCGGAUUUUUCAUUUAAGAGAUAAAACAUUUAAAAAACUAAUAAUCCGAAAAGAUUCUUGCAUGCAUGCAAUGAUGUAGCAAUCUAUUUACAUUAGAGACGUGUGGUGCAUCUCUUUUUCUGCCACACGUGUGGCAGUUAUCGACGUCCUAAAAAUAUCAGUCAUGGAAAUGUCGUCCUUAGCAUACACCUCACAAAUCUUACAACUGCACAAGUUGAAAAACCAACAUGUCGCUACAGAUGGUAGACCUCACUGCUGGCAAUCAGCAUUGCCACAGUCGAAGUCGGUGCAAUGAUGGUCCUGUUGAUCCAUUGAAAAUGCAUUGUCAAGUGAAAUCAUGCGCACAACUUGGCAAGAUGAGUAGAGCACUAAGGUUGCACCCGCUUCGGUAAUGACCCGCUAGACAAGUACGGUGCCAGGCAAGCCUGCAUAAACAUGGACGAUUAUUUUGUAAGUUUCUGGCUUCAUUGUUCUUUGUUAACUCUCUUUCAUACUUCUAUCAGUCUAGCUCUCUUAAUAAACUAACAAAGGACAGACGAUUCAAAAAAAUAAACCAACUAUGCUCAUACUGAAUAUAUCAAGUUGAAUGGAACAGAAAGAUGGUCUAACUUUGAUAUAUCUAAAGCUUGGAUGCAAACGAUUCGAGCUAAGCCUAGUUCUCUCGCAUGAGAUUGUCAUGUCUGCUAGGACAUGUAAAUGGAUCAGAUGAGAAGGGGAUAAAUGUAGAAUUGAGAAGAUACUGUCUCCUUUUAACUUUUCUCUGAAUGAACGCAAACAACGACGCGGGCAAAUUACAGCCCUCCGUAACCUUCUUAAUUAUGCAAAGCCAUCAGUGGUGAAUGAUCUGGCAUUUUAUCUCCAAAAGAUACAUUCAAGCUACUGGUCAUAACCCGGUCAUAAUAAGAGCCUGUAAGUAUCAAAGCAAUCAAGAGUCUAAUAUUCUAGGUUGCAAAUCAAAAUGACUAGUAGGAUACAGAAGCAAUAACAUUGCCCUAAACAUAUUUAGAUUUUGCAGCAAAGGAUGUAAAUUGCAGUGAGAAAACUCUCCUACUUAUUCAGUUAUUUCCAAAGAAAUAAGUGAAUCCGAUGGCUUGAAUAUAGUUUGUAGAGGUAGAUACAAAUCCAAGUCUUGCAGGAAAAUUAAGUUUAUUAGCAUCAGCAGCAAUAUCUCAAGACAUAUAUACUUAUAACUUUGUAAGUUCUAUUUGCAGACUUCUAUUAGACUAGCUCGCUUAUAAACUGACAAAGGACAAACCCAUAAAAAAUUAAACCAACUAUGCUCACGAUGAUUAUAACAAGUUAAAGCAUAUUGAUAUCUAAAGCUUGAAAGCAAACUGAUCAAGCCAAGCUUAAUUUUUUAUCAUGUGCCAGAGGCCCAGAGCAAGCAAAUGAGUCAUGUGAAAAGGGCUAAAUGUAGAAUUGAGAAAAUGUUGUCCCCUUCAAUUUUUUUUGAUCAAACGGAAACAUCGACUUAAGCAAAUUCAUCUUGUUUGAAGCAAUGAUAAAACUGUCAUAGCCGCUAACCUACAUGAGGACCAAGCUCAUAACUGAUGGAUUCUUAUCUAUUGACCUACCGGAUGAUGAAACACUUCAUGACACUGCCUACUACCCAAGUCUUUAUAAGGAGCAAGGUGUAAGCAAAGGAUGGGCAGCAUAUUUCUCAUUUUACAUGUCUACCUUGGAAUUAAGUAAUCCCAUUUUAUGCAUUAUUUGUUGUGUCUCUGCGCAGUAGGGAUAUGAAUUUGAUAGGCAUAGGCAUAGAAGACACCGGGAACUACCGAUGAACCACCAGGAUCAGAACAUGCAACCGGUCGACUAGCUAUGGCGACCGUCAUCAUCAGGUGCGACUGACCCAUAGGCCACGCUCUCUCGUGAUGUCAUGAGGAAUCAGCAAAGGGACGAAAUGGGGAUCAGAGGUUGGAUGGAAUGAGAAUUGGACAAUAUUUGGUCGAUGCAAUCAUGACUGCGAAAGAGGGCUAGAAAGAGCAGACGUGUUGCCGCUUGCUGGAUAGAGAUAUCUGUGUAGAGAUCAGUGAAAGAAAUGUCUUCAGUCAUCCUUAGAAAACCACACUACGUACUUUGCUACUCCCUCCAUCCCAUAAUAUAAGAGUGUUUUUGACACUACACUUGUGUCAAAAAUGCUCUUAUAUUAUGGGGUGGAGGGAGUACUUCACAAGCAUUACACAGUUGAAAAAGCAAUCACCUCGUUGUUGGAGAUCAUUGCUGCUGACAUCUUGGUGAUAACAAUGACAUGGAUGGGUUCAUGUUGAUCCACUGACACAAUGUAGCCUCCUUCAGUAAAAGAUAUGCACAGAUUGGCAAAAUAAGUAAAACGCCAGAAAUGCAUCCGCUUCAAAAAUGACAUGCUAGACAAGUACCAUGUCAGGCACGCCUGCAAAACAUGGAAGAUUAUAUUGUGAAUCUCUUGCUACCCAAACUUGUCAAGCUUUAGUGAUUUGUAUUUGAUAAGGUCACUUCACAGAAUUCUGUUAGAUUAGCUCUCUUAAUAUAAAGACCCUCCGGGAAAAAAUAUUAAACCAACUAUGCUCACAAUGAAGAAAACAAGUUGAAGCGAAUUAGGAAAGAUGGGACUACCCCUUGACAAUAUUUAAAGCUUGGAUGCAAACUGAUUCAAGCCAAGCCUAGCUUUCUUCCGUUUAAAUGGAGAUUUAAAUGCUAAAUGUAGAAUUGAGAAGAUACUGUCUCCAUGUUUUUUUUACUGGAUGCAAACAACAACACUGGCAAAUUACACCCCUUAAUUUUGUAAAGCCAACAAUCCAACUUUGUACUAACUUUAGUACAAAGUUAGUACAAAGUUGGGUCAUCUAUUUUGGAACGGAGGGAGUACCAUUUAUCUCCAAAAGACACAUUUAAGCAACGGACUAUAACGAAAUGAGAAGAGGCUGUUAACACCAAAGCAAUCAACAGCAGUCUUAUAGGUUUUAAAGCAGAAAAAUGUGUCAAAGGAUGUUGAUUGUGUGAGAAUUCCUGUCUAUUCUGUUGUUGACAAAAAAGAAAAUGAACCCAAUGCAUAUCUCUUGAAUAUAGUUUAGAAAAGUACAUACCAAAUCCAAGUGUUGGAGGAGAAUAAGUUAAUUAGCAUGAGCAGCAAUAGGCAAUAGCUGAAGACAAGAUCUACUAAUACUGAUCCAAAUCAUGAAAAACAUGUCAGGAUGAAAUUAAAUUGCUGGGACUUCAAGUUCUGUGCAUGAUCUGUACUUGAUACAUGUGAACAUAUAACACUAUAACAGUAUGAAUGAAUUUGAUAUAUCGUGUGCAAUAUCAAAAAGAGUUAUCUCUAACUUGAAUCAGUGCAGGAAUUUUUUUACAGUAACACCCGCGUGAAAUUGAUCGGCCAGCACCAGACAAAAAAUAGAUAUUAGAACUACUGAGGAACAGAACAGUUUAGCCAAAAAAACAAUCCAUUUUUCAAUAUCUAAGAGCUGUUGCUACGGAUACCAAAUCAUGUUAUCUUGUACAGCAUUAGAAAUCAUUUUUGCAUAAUAGUUACUGACAUCUCAACGGAAAUUACCAAAUAAUAAAUAGCUGAAAAUGGUAUGAUGGAAUCAUAAGAUACACUCAUUCUAAAAAAACAGUGCAUAGAAGCUCCCACACAAGGUGGGGUAUGGGGAGGGAUUAUAGGAACCUAGUCUUACCCCUGCAACGUGCAAUGCAAAGAGGCUGGUUCAAAUCCAGGACCUCUUGGCACAAGUGGGGAGGACUUCACAACUACGCCAGGCCUGCCCUCUAUCAUUCUCAUUCCAAAUUAUGUAGUGGCGUUCUCCAGGACAGUGUUAUAUUAACUUUCAUAUUGGCUGGGUAAUUAAAAGAGUGGCCGUGAAGAAUAUCCUCGUUAAGAUCAGAACAUUCCCUCAAAAUUAGAACAUUUAGGGUAACUUUUCUUGUAAUGUUAUAAAGUGUAUGUUUCUGAAACCUUAGACAGAUACUGCCACCCACUCAUCCCAGUCUACUGAUACAGCAAGCUUCCCUACAUAUAGGUUCUUAACAUAUCGAUGACAAAGGAGCAAAAAAUGGUCACUAAAAUUUUGCCACAUUGAAUUGGACUAAAGGUGUUGAUGUUGUCAUUCAAACAGAGGAGUCCUUGCCUGAGAUAUGAAGGUGAUAUUUUUCUGUUUAAUUAAUGUGCAGAGAAAGCUAAACACCAUAAAUAGAAAACUCUAGUUCAACAGGAAUAAUUGAACAACACUACAUUCAAAUUACAUCCAACACCCCGCAAAAAGACAAAUUACAUCCAACAAAAUGGAAUUGAGUGAGACAAGCAUAGCCUACAUAAUUGGUCAUCACUUUGCCCGCUAGCUCAUUUGUCACCUCUUUUUAUUCUAAAUUAAUCCGUUCACAGAGCUAUAAUUCAAAUAGAGCAUCAUCAUCAAUGUCACAGGCACCAUCAUGAAGAACAUGGAAGUUUAGGGCGUGUCCGGGAGUCCUCCCGCUUCUCAACUCCUCAACUCCAUGUGAGGAGUGCAGCCGAACGAUCCAAAUCCUAGUUAUGAGCGAGAGAAGCUGGCGAAACUUGCAGUGCAAUUUUCGCGGAGUCGCGGAGCUAGCAAACUCGAGCUCCUCCAAAACAGCGAAGCAGGAGUUGCCAAGAAUUGCCACCACCAAGUGAGUUACCGCUUCGUUCAUUUGUAGCAAAUAUUACAAGUAUGUGCCACCGCCAAGGCAGUUACCGGUUCGUUUGUUCGCCAGAGCAGGCUUCCCACGCCUAGAUGGGCUGUCACGCCUAGUUGGGCCCUCCCGAGCUGCUAUUUCUCAUAGCUAGGUGGCUGGCGGCCUGUUUCAACGACCAGAACGAGGAGCUACUCUACCGGGCGAUUUGUAACUCCGGGAUUUUAACUGAGAAGCUGGCUGCUGGUUUUGGGCUAUGGAGUUGAGGAUUUUGAGGGUGUGGAGAGCUACCGAACACGCCCGUAGUUUUGCAAAAUUUCUCACUAACCAAACUUGUCAAGCUUCGGCAGUCUGUACUUUGUAAGGUCCCCUUACAGAGUUCGGUUAGACUAGCUCUCUUAAUGAACCAACGAAGUGAAGAUCCUUCGGAAAAAAGUAAACCAAGUAUGCUCACAACUAAUAUAACAAGUUUAAGCGAAUUAGGAUAGAUGAUCUAACCUUAACAAUACAUAAAGCUUGGAUGCAACUGAUUCGAGCUAAGCCUAGUUUCCAGGAGAUCAUCUGCUAGAACCUGCACCAAUUGGGAAGAGCUGCAAAAGUAAGCAUGUAAGUGAAUCAGGUGAAAAAAGGGUAAAUGGACAUUUAAUUGCUAAAUGUACAUAUUGUCUCCAUUUUUUCUUUGACUGGAUGCAAACAGCAACACUGGCAAACUAUACCCCUUAAUUAUGCAAAGCCACCAGUCCCGCCGAUUACCUCCAAAAGACACACUUAAACAUCCGAAGAUAACUCAGUAAGGACAAGAGUGUGUUAGCACCAAAGCAAUCAACAGUCUAAUAGUACAGGUUUCGAAGCAGGAGAAUGUGUCAAAGGAUGUAACUAGCGAUGAGAACUCUCCUACUUAUUAGGUUGUUGACAAAGAAAGUAAAUGAAUCUAAUGCAUAUAUCUUGAAUAUAGUUUGGAGUAGAUACCAAAUCCAUGUCUCACAGGAGAACAAGGUAAUUAGCAUCAGCAGCAAUAGAUUAAGACAGAUAUACUUGUUUUGAUCAGCAUUGCAUCAUGAAAAAACAUGUCCAGGAUGAAAUUAAAUUACUAGGACUUUAACUCCUGUGCAUAAUCUGUACUUGGUACAAGUGAACAAAAAUUAACAGUAUGAAAUAACAGCAUAGUGAUUUUUUUUGCAGGAACUCACGCGUGAAAUUGAUUGGCCAGCGCCAGGCAGGAAGUAGAUAUUAGAGAAUUCGUGUGUAGAUAACAGAUUGGCCAAAAAUUCCAUCAACAACACAUUUUUCAAUCAAGUGAACAUAUCUACAAAUCGCUAUUAUGGAGAUUAACACUUAUUCCCAUUGCAAAUUAUGCAGUGGCAUUCUCCAGAAGGACAGUGCUUAUUUACUUGCAUAUUGACUUGGUAAUUAAAAGAUUAGUCUUGAGGAAUAUACAUGUGAACAUCAGGACAUGGAUGGUAUCAUUUUCUCUAGUGUUAUAAAGUGUGUGUUUCUGAAAACUCAGAUGUACUAUUACCUACAUAUAGGUUUUAAACAUAUCAAUGACAAAAGAGUCUUUUUGCCAUAUUGAACUGGACUGAAGUUAUUGGUCAAACAGGAGAUAUAGAGGUGAUACUUUUCUAUUUAAGUAAUAUGCAAGAGAAAGCUAACAGCAUAAGCAGAAAACACUAGUUCAAUGGGAAUAACUGAAAAACACUACGUUCAAAUUACAUCCAACAAAAUGGAAUUGACUAAUUGAGUGAGACAAGCUCAACCUACAAAGUUGGUCAUCAUUUUGCCUGCUAGCUCACUCACCACCUCUUUCUGUCCUAAAUCAACCCAUUCACAGAGCUAUUCAAAGGGAGCAUAAUCCAUC
RNAcentral lists this long non-coding RNA (6933 nucleotides) under Triticum aestivum (bread wheat). Its description in RNAcentral is "long non-coding RNA (TAES_LNC012557)". The stretch from base 2532 to 2618 matches the Rfam family "MIR1120/MIR1122 microRNA precursor family". Lineage: Eukaryota; Viridiplantae; Streptophyta; Magnoliopsida; Poales; Poaceae. The record is from RNAcentral.